This 2121-nucleotide long non-coding RNA is filed under the name Nicotiana tabacum (common tobacco). Its description in RNAcentral is "long non-coding RNA (NTAB_LNC007870)". Lineage: Eukaryota; Viridiplantae; Streptophyta; Magnoliopsida; Solanales; Solanaceae. The record is from RNAcentral.
AGUCGCCUCUGAAACCCCUCAUUCCCUCAAACUUUCUCGAAGCUUCUCAAACCCUAGCCUCCUUCCACCGCUUCCGCCCUGAAAGCCACCAGAAUCCAUUGCUUCCAAGGCUAUGGAAACCUUACACCGGCCUCCUAUGGCUCCCACACGCCUGAUUUAUGAAGAUUCAAGGCCUGAACAUGAAGGGUCGUAUCCAGACCUCUGUCGAUUCGAAGUUUCAUGGUCAUCUCCGACUUUGCUCCGGUGCACCAUGGUUGUUUGAGCCUGAUUCUGACCUCUCCGACUCAGAUCGGUGACUUUUUAAAGCCUUUCUCAUUUCUAGGGUUCUUCUGAAACCCUAACCCUUCGAGGCUUUCUCCGAUUCUUUUAGAUCUAUUGUGUAUCUAUACUUUCCCUAAGUUUCAAAUGAUUUCUCUGGCUUUUCUUUCAAAAUUACUUUCAGAACCAUUUCUUUUCCGAUCUAGGAUUUUUUGGAAAAAUGUUUAAGUGUUUCUCUGACUUUCUUUCUUUUUUUUCUUUGUGUGUAUUUGCCUCUACUGUGAUCUUGUAUUUCUCUUUUACCAUGUUCUUGCAUGCUUCUCCUACUGUGUUUUCCUAUACUAAGUUCUCGCAUGCUUUUCUACUUUAUUUCUUUUCUCUUGUGUUCUUGUGUUUCUUCUACUGUAUUUUUUCAGCUCUUAAGUUUCCUUAUUAAGUUCUUUCUACUGAGUUCUGUUUAAGUUUCUUCUAAAAGCUUCUUAACAUGUUUUUGCUACUGUUCUUAUUAGUCUUUUCCAUUAUGUUUUAUAUUAGCUUCUUCUACUCUAUUUUCUUUGAAUUCUUCUACUAUGUUCUGCGUGUUACUUGCUAUCAUUGUUUUCCCAUGAGUUUCUGCUGCUGAAAGAAACAUGCAAUGGGUCUCAGUUCUUCUCUGAGACCUCUGAGCCUGUUUCGAUCACUUGCCUUCUCAUCUCUGUACUCGGUUAAUGGUGGAAACCCUAGAAUUUGGGGGUUCUUCCAAGUUUGGUUAUGUGAUUGGCUUGAACUAGGGUUUUAUUUCAGAACCCCUAAUUCUUUCAGACCAAUUUCGGGUUUGUGAACUGAGUUUGGACAUCUUUUGAUUCUGGCUUUUUGCUAAACCCUUCUACACUAGAUUUUUCUACUGAUUUUACAAUGACACCACAGUCUUUUUCAUGCUUAACAUGUUCGUAUGCUCCUUAUAUAUGAUGAGUUUCCCUCUAAAAUGGUUUUCAAAUUUGCAAUUAGUUCAAACUUCCUUUUGAAUAUGGCUUGAUUGAUUUCUUUCCAUUGUUUGCUGAUUUUCUCUGUGACUCGACCUAAGUUUAAACCCUUCUUCAUCUUUUCUGACUCGGUUCAUUCAUGCAAAAUCUCAGACCCUCUUGAUUUACUGCUUGUUAAUUGAUUUGCUUACCUUUUUUGCACAAACAAGGAAGUCCUGUGUAAUUGAUUGACAAUCAGUUCCUCAACUAUUUUCUUACCUUAUUUCUGCCUGAUUUUACACUAUUAAAAGGCACGACCCUCUUCACAAACAAUAAGACACAUUCACAAUCCUUCUGAACUCUUACUUCCACAUAAUAGUAUUCUCUCUUCUUGUCCGCACUGUGGCUUUUACAAGACUACUGCAUUUUCUCUAUUUAUUUCUUUGAAACUUGUAUGUCCUAAUUUAAGCUUCAGUAUCAUCACAAUGUGUUCAUUUACAGCUUUAAUAUCCAUGUCUACUUUACCGUUUCUGCUGUGAAUCCUUGCUCCCUAUCCCUAUUGCCCCUAUGUGUUUGAGAGUUGUGACUUAAGGCAUGGCAAUGUGAGUUGUUGCCCAUGAAUUAAGUUUUAACAAAUGGGGUCUUAACCUCUAAGAAAACAGGCUGGAGGGUGUGCCAGCAUCUCCCAUUGCUGGGUAUGCCCAUCAGCCUGCUUUUCUUUUGCUCUUGCAAAUUUCCCCACUCCCCUACACCGUUAUGUGUACUGAUUUUAAGUUAUUCACUUUUUCCCUUUCCCCUUUCAGAAUGCUACUUUCACACUUGCACUCCCUCUUAGUUCCUAAGUUCUGCCCCCUCUUGUGAGCCUUGCCUUGGGACCUUGAGUUUCCUCUGAACUUGGACACCUGAGGGCUGACCCUUCCAC